This 74-nucleotide transfer RNA is filed under the name Propionibacterium ruminifibrarum. RNAcentral's name for it is "Propionibacterium sp. JV5 tRNA-Leu(taa)". It matches the Rfam family "tRNA". From Rfam's summary of the family: Transfer RNA (tRNA) molecules are approximately 80 nucleotides in length. Their secondary structure includes four short double-helical elements and three loops (D, anti-codon, and T loops). Lineage: Bacteria; Bacillati; Actinomycetota; Actinomycetes; Propionibacteriales; Propionibacteriaceae. The record is from RNAcentral.
GCCCCCGUAGCCCAAUGGCAGAGGCAGGCGGCUUAAACCCGCUCAAGUGCGAGUUCGACUCUCGCCGGGGGCAC